Molecule: ribosomal RNA, 499 nt
Filed under: uncultured bacterium
Lineage: Bacteria
Description: partial 16S ribosomal RNA
Rfam family: Bacterial small subunit ribosomal RNA
Source: RNAcentral
GAUGAACGCUGGCGGCGUGCCUAAUACAUGCAAGUCGAGCGAACAGACGAGAGUGCUUGCACUCUCUGACGUUAGCGGCGGACGGGUGAGUAACACGUGGGUAACCUACCUAUAAGACUGGGAUAACUUCGGGAAACCGGAGCUAAUACCGGAUAAUAUUUAGCUUCGCAUGAAGCAAUAGUGAAAGACGGUUCUGCUGUCACUUAUAGAUGGACCCGCGGUGUAUUAGCUAGUUGGUGAGGUAACGGCUCACCAAGGCAACGACACAUAGCCGACCUGAGAGGGUGAUCGGCCACACUGGGACUGAGACACGGCCCAGACUCCUACGGGAGGCAGCAGUAGGGAAUCUUCCGCAAUGGACGAAAGUCUGACGGAGCAAUGCCGCGUGAGUGAAGAAGGUUUUCGGAUCGUAAAACUCUGUUGUAAGGGAAGAACAAGUACGUUAGUAACUGAACGUACCUUGACGGUACCUUACCAGAAAGCCACGGCUAACUACGUG